This 1047-nucleotide long non-coding RNA is filed under the name Notechis scutatus (mainland tiger snake). Its description in RNAcentral is "lncRNA (ENSNSUG00000000753.1)". Lineage: Eukaryota; Metazoa; Chordata; Lepidosauria; Squamata; Elapidae. The record is from RNAcentral.
GGGGGGGGAGGGCAGGCAUGGGUGACCCCCCUCCCUUCCCCCCCUCUCUUUCAGCCUCUCACCUGGAUCCCCAGGGGCUCCCCCUUCCACACGGCCAAAGUCGAAGUGGCCUUCGCUGCCCCUGGGUUGGAAACCCGUCUCCAUCGUCGGUGGCUGCCAAAGGGGACCGGCGGAGGUGCGUGCCCAGCGCAGCAGCUGCUCCCCCCCCUCUGGGAGAGGCUGCCCAUAGUCCAGCCAUUGUGGGCACACGGUAGACGCCGCCGUGCCGUCUUCCUCCCUCGCCCUGCCCCAAGUGGCACCAAGAGACUGGCAUCCAAGGCUGGCCGUGCCCAAGAGGACCAAAGCCGCUUGACCUCAGCUUGGCUCAACUUCAGGGUAGAGAAGGACCCUUGGAAGCCAGCUGACCUGGCCCGAAGGACCCUCCAGAAUCUCCCGGGCAGUGCCAGCGUGGUCCCUGGGCAUGGGCGUGCCACCAAACGAGGCGCACGACCACCUCUGCCCAGCGCAACCACAGAUGCCGGUGCAGCACGCAAGGCCGGGUGCCGAUGCCCAGACAGCCAGCGGGCUACCGUGGUGGGCCAGCAAGCGGAGGCUCGUCCGGAGGGUCUCCGUGUGCCCACCCCCCGCACAGAGGAAGCGGCCUGGGCCGCCAGCGCUCUGAUUUUCUUGCUGGUGCUCCUGACCCUGGCUAUACUCUACACCCGUCUGCACCGGAAAUGCCGCCGCGGGCCAAGCCUCUACUGGAUGACCAACAGCGAGGAAGGGCGCGAGACGGUGGCCACUGUCAUGAAGCACCGUCUCUUCUCGCGCACCAGGCGCACCAGGCGCCCACGGCCGCCGCUUCAGCCGCCACAGCAGCCGCCACAGCUGCUCCUGCCCAGCUCCUCCAGCGAGGACGAUGACAGCGCCGCCUGAAGGCCUCGCCUGGCCCAGCCUGUCCGGAGGGGCCACCAGCCCAAAGCCCACCGCCCAAGGAGGGAGGGAGGGAGGGAGGGAGGGAGGGAGGGGCUCCAGCCAUGACCGCUGCGUUCGUUUUUCAUACUCAAU